CCUACGGGCGGCUGCAGUGGGGAAUAUUGGGCAAUGGGCGCAAGCCUGACCCAGCAACGCCGCGUGAAGGAAGAAGGCUUUCGGGUUGUAAACUUCUUUUCUGAGGGACGAAUAAUGACGGUACCUCAGGAAUAAGCCCCGGCUAACUACGUGCCAGCAGCCGCGGUAAUACGUAGGUGGCAAGCGUUAUCCGGAUUUACUGGGUGUAAAGGGAGCGUAGGCGGGAAGCCAAGUCAGCUGUGAAAACUACGGGCUUAACCUGUAGACUGCAGUUGAAACUGGCUUUCUUGAGUGAAGUAGAGGUUGGCGGAAUUCCGAGUGUAGCGGUGAAAUGCGUAGAUAUUCGGAGGAACACCAGUGGCGAAGGCGGCCAACUGGGCUUUAACUGACGCUGAGGCUCGAAAGUGUGGGGAGCAAACAGGAUUAGAUACCCCAGUAGUC
Molecule: ribosomal RNA, 441 nt
Filed under: Salmonella enterica subsp. enterica serovar Anatum
Lineage: Bacteria; Pseudomonadati; Pseudomonadota; Gammaproteobacteria; Enterobacterales; Enterobacteriaceae
Description: bacterial SSU rRNA
Rfam family: Bacterial small subunit ribosomal RNA
Source: RNAcentral